RNAcentral lists this unclassified non-coding RNA (141 nucleotides) under uncultured Oidiodendron. RNAcentral's name for it is "sequence contains ITS2". Lineage: Eukaryota; Fungi; Ascomycota; Leotiomycetes; Myxotrichaceae. The record is from RNAcentral.
CAACCCUCAAGCACUGCUUGGUGUUGGGCCCUGCCCGUUGCGGCCGGCCCUAAAACCAGUGGCGGCGCCGUCUGGCUCUAAGCGUAGUACAUCUCUCGCUCUAGGGUCCCGCGGUGGCUUGCCAGAACCCCUAAUUCUUAU